Molecule: long non-coding RNA, 779 nt
Organism: Orbicella faveolata
Lineage: Eukaryota; Metazoa; Cnidaria; Anthozoa; Scleractinia; Merulinidae
Source: RefSeq, a predicted model, not a curated record
UUGGAUAUUUCAAAAAGUAAUUUGAUUUCCUUCAGUUACUUAACUGGGCCUUCAAACUGGCAGAGUAUGAGCAAAUCGAUUUUUUGACCGUGGCCACCUUUUUAGAUUCUUCUUCGAUUUUUACAGACAUUCACUCUUAAGAGUCAUUCCAAAGGCAAUUCCUAAAUGAAUCUGAGAUAAUAAACAAUCCGGAAUAUGAAUGAAGUUUCUACACACACACCACAAGAACAAUUCAACUUUAUCUCUUUGCAGGAUGAAGGCUUGGAAAUAAGACAACAUAUAACGAGUUCAAACUCACAUAUAAUUCAAAGUGAGCUGCAGAGAGUUAUGUUUGUCAUAAGACGACAUUCGUUGGUACACUACCAACGAACAAGGUAUGCACUUUGAAAAUAUCAAAUAUAGGCAUACAAACAUUCUACAAUAAUAGAGUAUAGUUGUUCCCACCUUUUUUAGCCCACGAAUAACCUUUUAACCUUUCAUGAUAUUUACACGUUGAAAAAAUACAAACAACACUCCAGCUCCAAAUGAAUACCUGACAGCCUCCAUGUCCCUUUGGUACCAAGCUGUACUGAAACUUUGAGCUGAGUGCCAAUAUAACACUUUCGUUAUGGGAUAUAUCAAAAAACCUCCGCGUCAAACAGUACUAAACUGUGAUGAACACCUUUCUAUAUCACCUUCCUGUUUCCUGUUGACCUUACACAUAGCACUGAUGGAAUACUGGCUCUAAAUCUUUCAUCCUUUGAUAAACGAACUCUAUACCAUUCCGCAAAACGAGUUCC